Onthophagus taurus is the source of this 684-nucleotide long non-coding RNA. RefSeq lists it as uncharacterized. Lineage: Eukaryota; Metazoa; Arthropoda; Insecta; Coleoptera; Scarabaeidae. The record is from RefSeq and is a predicted model, not a curated record.
AGCUAGAGAGAUAAAGAUAAAUAAAUAAAUAAACAAACAAAGAUAAAAUUAUUCUUAAUUUUUAAAAUGUUAUUUUCUUUGAAAAAAGUUAAUGUCUUUUUUAUGUAUGACUCUUUAUCCAACUCAACGAGGCCUGCAUUUUUGUCUCCCAUGGUAACAAUACGAUUUUCUAUUUUAAUAUUAUGUUUCAAAUUUUUAAUGCGAAGAAUUAAUUUAGUAUGGAAAGAUUUUAUGUUGACGUUCUUAUUCCCACUCGUUUUCCCUCACUCUUUCACCUUUAUCAUCUGGCGAACGUUCCUUAUGACCUUCAGUCCAAUUUCAUCCCUCAUCAUGUUGACUCAAGUUAUUUAAUUUUAAAGGAAAUUUUAACGUGUUAAUUGUUUGGUAAUUUGUUUUGUCGUUAAUUUUUAACAUUUAUUUUUAAACACUUUGAAAAACGAGAUUUACGAUGAAUAGAAAAACGCCAUUUUAAUUUUUUGGAUUUUUCAAUUUACUCUUCAAGUUUUUUUACAUUUGAAUUUUUCGUAAACGGAAUCUUUUUGAAGAAAUACUCUGAAACAAUACUCUCUUCACUCUCGAUGCUCCUACACCGACGCAGCAAAAAACCAUACAACUUACCUGGAAAAAUCCACCAAAUCGAUAAUAGAGGCAUCUUCAAUAGUCCCCGAGAUCAAGAAAACCUUA